ACCGAAUUCAGACAAACUCCGAAUGCCAAUUAAUUUAACUUGGGAGUCAGAACAUGGGUGAUAAGGUCCGUGUUCGAAAGGGAAACAGCCCAGACCACCAGCUAAGGUCCCAAAAUAUAUGUUAAGUGGAAAAGGAUGUGGCGUUGCCCAGACAACUAGGAUGUUGGCUUAGAAGCAGCCAUCAUUUAAAGAGUGCGUAAUAGCUCACUAGUCGAGUGACACUGCGCCGAAAAUGUACCGGGGCUAAACAUAUUACCGAAGCUGUGGAUUGUCCUUUGGACAAUGGUAGGAGAGCGUUCUAAGGGCGUUGAAGCAUGAUCGUAAGGACAUGUGGAGCGCUUAGAAGUGAGAAUGCCGGUGUGAGUAGCGAAAGACGGGUGAGAAUCCCGUCCACCGAUUGACUAAGGUUUCCAGAGGAAGGCUCGUCCGCUCUGGGUUAGUCGGGUCCUAAGCUGAGGCCGACAGGCGUAGGCGAUGGAUAACAGGUUGAUAUUCCUGUACCACCUAUAAUCGUUUUAAUCGAUGGGGGGACGCAGUAGGAUAGGCGAAGCGUGCGAUUGGAUUGCACGUCUAAGCAGUAAGGCUGAGUAUUAGG
This 595-nucleotide ribosomal RNA is filed under the name Staphylococcus aureus. Its description in RNAcentral is "partial 23S ribosomal RNA". It matches the Rfam family "Bacterial large subunit ribosomal RNA", at positions 938 to 1536 of the family's 2925-position model. Lineage: Bacteria; Bacillati; Bacillota; Bacilli; Caryophanales; Staphylococcaceae. The record is from RNAcentral.